RNAcentral lists this long non-coding RNA (407 nucleotides) under Phaseolus vulgaris (common bean). RNAcentral's name for it is "long non-coding RNA (PVUL_LNC001940)". The record is from RNAcentral. Lineage: Eukaryota; Viridiplantae; Streptophyta; Magnoliopsida; Fabales; Fabaceae.
UUUGAUCUAGCUAGUGAAGAGAUAACAGAAGUUUCCCAUGUUUGUAAUUGUUUUACAGUCAUUUCUUAGAGGGCCAUGAAGCAAGGUGAAGAUGAUGAUGAUGAUACAGUACCAAAGAGCAAAGAGAGGAUGCAGAAAAGUGACUGAGUUUUGGUAACUGCUUACAACAACAACCAAGUAAAGAAUAUGUAACAGCAUAUGAUACACUUAGUGGAACUUGAGACUGGUCAAGACAUUGUUGUUGACAGGGUCUGCAAGAUGAUCUAAGAGGUUUUGGUAUGGCCCAACACCUGUCACAAGAGCUUGAAUAAAGUAACCCAAAAUUGCCAACAUAGCCAACCUUCCAUUCUUCACCUCCUUCAGCUUCAAAUCCUUCAAGGAUUUCUCAUCUUUCCCAAAACCAAGAG